RNAcentral lists this ribosomal RNA (465 nucleotides) under uncultured Klebsiella sp. RNAcentral's name for it is "bacterial SSU rRNA". It matches the Rfam family "Bacterial small subunit ribosomal RNA", at positions 338 to 795 of the family's 1533-position model. The record is from RNAcentral. Lineage: Bacteria; Pseudomonadati; Pseudomonadota; Gammaproteobacteria; Enterobacterales; Enterobacteriaceae.
CCUACGGGCGGCAGCAGUGGGGAAUAUUGCACAAUGGGCGCAAGCCUGAUGCAGCCAUGCCGCGUGUGUGAAGAAGGCCUUCGGGUUGUAAAGCACUUUCAGCGGGGAGGAAGGCGGUGAGGUUAAUAACCUCAUCGAUUGACGUUACCCGCAGAAGAAGCACCGGCUAACUCCGUGCCAGCAGCCGCGGUAAUACGGAGGGUGCAAGCGUUAAUCGGAAUUACUGGGCGUAAAGCGCACGCAGGCGGUCUGUCAAGUCGGAUGUGAAAUCCCCGGGCUCAACCUGGGAACUGCAUUCGAAACUGGCAGGCUAGAGUCUUGGAGAGGGGGGUAGAAUUCCAGGUGUAGCGGUGAAAUGCGUAGAGAUCUGGAGGAAUACCGGUGGCGAAGGCGGCCCCCUGGACAAAGACUGACGCUCAGGUGCGAAAGCGUGGGGAGCAAACAGGAUUAGAUACCCGAGUAGUC